Long non-coding RNA from Ictalurus punctatus (channel catfish), 700 nucleotides. The record is from Ensembl. NCBI's taxonomy places the organism in Eukaryota, Metazoa, Chordata, Actinopteri, Siluriformes, Ictaluridae.
CAUAAAGUUUGUGCAGUACACCGCAAGGCACUGUAAAGGAUAGUGGCAUUUUUGUUACAACAUAAUUAUAAGUUAUCAAGCAUUUACUUAUAGAAAAUUGUUAGAGCUUUAUGAAGCAUGUGUGAGUGUGUAUGUGAUUGUGCCCUGCGAUGGACUGGCACCCUGUCCAGGGUGUACCCUACCUUGUGCCCGAUGCUCCCUGGGAUAGGCUCCAGGUUCCCCAUGACCCUGAAAAGGAGUAAGUGGUAGAAGAUGGAUGGAUGGAUAGUAAUGUUUAUAUUUUAAAAAAUUGCUUACAUGGGAUCAUUACCAACUUCUAAUGAAUUAUAAUCAUAGUUAUAAUGAUUUAUACAUAUCAGCUUCAUAGAAAAUACAUUUAGGGGUCUGAUCAAGACAGGUGACCAGGCCUAAUAAGAUAUUUUUGAAGGUCUCUAGUCAGUUGAUGUCCAGGGGGCAUACUUCCUGUAGUGGGACUAGCAAGAACAGAGGCCACACUUCCUUCACUGGGAAUGAAGAGGACACACCUCCUUCAUUGUGGCAGAUGGGUACAGAGGACACACCUCCUUCACUGAGGUAGAUGGGUACAGAGGACACACCUCCUUCACUGAGGUAGAUGGGUACACAGGCCACACCUCCUUCACUGAGGUAGAUGGGUACAGAGGCCACACCUCCUUCACUGAGGUAGAUGGGUACAGAGGCC